UCCUGGUUAACCCAGGCAGUCUCGUUAGAGUUCCCACCAUUACAUGUUGGCAACUAACGAUAAGGGUUGCGCUCGUUGCUGGACUUAACCAAACACCUCACGGCACGAGCUGACGACAGCCAUGCAGCACCUAUAUAGAGACCCUUUCGGGAAAUAUCAUCUCUGAUAUCGUCCUCUACAUUUCGAGCCCAGGUAAGGUUCUUCGCGUUGCAUCGAAUUAAACCACAUGCUCCACUGCUUGUGCGGGCCCCCGUCAAUUCUUUUGAGUUUCACCCUUGCGAGCGUACUCCCCAGGCGGUAUACUUAAUGCGUUAGCUCCGGAACAGAGGGGGUUGAGCCCUCCUACUCCUAGUAUACAUCGUUUAAGGCAUGGACUAC
RNAcentral lists this unclassified non-coding RNA (378 nucleotides) under uncultured Chlamydiales bacterium. RNAcentral's name for it is "contains 16S-23S intergenic spacer region". The record is from RNAcentral. Lineage: Bacteria; Pseudomonadati; Chlamydiota; Chlamydiia; Chlamydiales.